UGGCAAUCAAAGAAAGAGAGAACAACCUCCCUCCAGCACCUGCUAAGGGCGAAGGGGACUGUGUACGGAAUAAAUGCGGUGCCUCGGCUUGACACUUCUGACAGGGUCAAGUUUUCCCUGCACCAUAAUGAGGUCUUGUUAGGAAAGUGGGAGCGGUAUCCUAAGAAGAAAAUAAGCCCAACAUACUUCUGGCCCAAGGAACCUCUUAGAGACUGUCUCUUUGGUACAGCACUAAGUUCUUGUAUGGAUAGAAAAGGCCUCCAGACUCAUCCCUUCUUCUGUUCAGUCUCAGACCAAACAGCUGUUAUUCCAGGAAGGUGAAUUCCUCAUUAAGUCAGGCAAGUUGAAAAUAUGUUCUCUCCUGAAACCACUAAUCCU
This 378-nucleotide long non-coding RNA is filed under the name Struthio camelus australis. RNAcentral's name for it is "lncRNA (ENSSCUG00000007861.1)". Lineage: Eukaryota; Metazoa; Chordata; Aves; Struthioniformes; Struthionidae. The record is from RNAcentral.